UGGGGGAUAUUGCAACAAUGGGCGCAAGCCUGAUGCAGCGACGCCGCGUGAGGGAUGACGGCUUUCGGGUUGUAAACCUCUUUCGCUACUGAACAAGGGCCCUUGCUUGUUGUGGGGUUGAGGGUAGGUGGAUAAGAAGCGCCGGCUAACUACGUGCCAGCAGCCGCGGUAAUACGUAGGGCGCGAGCGUUGUCCGGAAUUAUUGGGCGUAAAGAGCUCGUAGGCGGCUUGUCGCGUCUGCUGUGAAAACGCGGGGCUUAACUCCGCAGCGUGCAGUGGGUACGGGCAGGCUAGAGUGUGGUAGGGGUGAUUGGAAUUCCUGGUGUAGCGGUGGAAUGCGCAGAUAUCAGGAGGAACACCGAUGGCGAAGGCAGGUCACUGGGCCAUUACUGACGCUGAGGAGCGAAAGCAUGGGGAGCGAACAGGAUUAGAUACCCU
This 438-nucleotide ribosomal RNA is filed under the name uncultured bacterium. RNAcentral describes it as "partial 16S ribosomal RNA". It matches the Rfam family "Bacterial small subunit ribosomal RNA", at positions 355 to 788 of the family's 1533-position model. The record is from RNAcentral.